This 405-nucleotide ribosomal RNA is filed under the name uncultured bacterium. RNAcentral describes it as "bacterial SSU rRNA". It matches the Rfam family "Bacterial small subunit ribosomal RNA", at positions 355 to 776 of the family's 1533-position model. The record is from RNAcentral.
UAAGGAAUAUUGCACAAUGGGCGAAAGCCUGAUGCAGCAACGCCGCGUGCGCGAUGAAGGCCUUCGGGUCGUAAAGCGCUUUUCUGGGGGAAGAGUAAGGACGGUACCUCAGGAAUAAGUCUCGGCUAACUACGUGCCAGCAGCCGCGGUAACACGUAGGAGACAAGCGUUAUCCGGAUUUAUUGGGCGUAAAGGGCAUGUAGGCGGGCUCUUAAGUCGGAUGUGAAAUCUCUUGGCUUAACCGGGAGGGGUCAUUCGAUACUGGGAGUCUUGAGGGCAGGAGAGGGAAGUAGAAUUCCCGGUGUAGUGGUGGAAUACGUAGAUAUCGGGAGGAAUACCAGUGGCGAAAGCGGCUUCCUGGCCUGUGCCUGACGCUGAUAUGCGAAAGCGUGGGUAGCAAACGGG